Molecule: ribosomal RNA, 253 nt
Filed under: uncultured bacterium
Lineage: Bacteria
Description: partial 16S ribosomal RNA
Rfam family: Bacterial small subunit ribosomal RNA
Source: RNAcentral
UACGGGGGGGGCAAGCGUUGUUCGGAAUUACUGGGCGUAAAGCGCGCGCAGGCGGUCCUUCAAGUCAGAGGUGAAAGCCCAGAGCUCAACUCUGGAACGGCCUUUGAAACUAGAGGACUUGGGUACGGGAGAGGUGAGUGGAAUUCCGAGUGUAGAGGUGAAAUUCGUAGAUAUUCGGAAGAACACCAGUGGCGAAGGCGGCUCACUGGCCUGUUACCGACGCUCAGGCGCGACAGCGUGGAGAGCAAACAGG